CAGCAGCCACGGUAAUACAGAGGGUGCAAGCGUUAAUCGGAAUUACUGGGCGUAAAGCGCGCGUAGGUGGUUUGUUAAGUUGGAUGUGAAAUCCCCGGGCUCAACCUGGGAACUGCAUCCAAAACUGGCAAGCUAGAGUAUGGUAGAGGGUGGUGGAAUUUCCUGUGUAGCGGUGAAAUGCGUAGAUAUAGGAAGGAACACCAGUGGCGAAGGCGACCACCUGGACUGAUACUGACACUGAGGUGCGAAAGCGUGGGGAGCAAACAGGAUUAGAUACCCGUGUAGUCCCUGUCUCUUAUAA
This 301-nucleotide ribosomal RNA is filed under the name uncultured bacterium. RNAcentral's name for it is "partial 16S ribosomal RNA". It matches the Rfam family "Bacterial small subunit ribosomal RNA", at positions 509 to 809 of the family's 1533-position model. The record is from RNAcentral.